AGAACGAACGCUGGCGGCGUGCCUAACACAUGCAAGUCGAACGGAGAUAAGGGGCUUGCUCCUUAUUUUAGUGGCGCACGGGUGAGUAACGCGUGGAUAAUCUACCUUGGAAUCUGGGAUAACAUUUCGAAAGGGGUGCUAAUACCGGAUAAGACCACGAGCUCUUUGGAGUUUGCGGUAAAAGGGGGCCUCUGUAUAUGCUUCUGUUUCAAGAUGAGUCCGCGUACCAUUAGCUAGUUGGCAGGGUAAUGGCCUACCAAGGCGACGAUGGUUAGCUGGUCUGAGAGGAUGAUCAGCCACACUGGAACUGAGACACGGUCCAGACUCCUACGGGAGGCAGCAGUGGGGAAUUUUGCGCAAUGGGGGAAACCCUGACGCAGCAACGCCGCGUGAGUGAUGAAGGCCUUCGGGUCGUAAAGCUCUGUCAGAGGGAAAGAAGUGU
RNAcentral lists this ribosomal RNA (442 nucleotides) under uncultured bacterium. RNAcentral describes it as "bacterial SSU rRNA". It matches the Rfam family "Bacterial small subunit ribosomal RNA", at positions 26 to 453 of the family's 1533-position model. The record is from RNAcentral.